Molecule: ribosomal RNA, 630 nt
Filed under: uncultured beta proteobacterium
Lineage: Bacteria; Pseudomonadati; Pseudomonadota; Betaproteobacteria
Description: bacterial SSU rRNA
Rfam family: Bacterial small subunit ribosomal RNA
Source: RNAcentral
UUCCUACGGGAGGCAGCAGUGGGGAAUUUUGGACAAUGGGGGCAACCCUGAUCCAGCCAUGCCGCGUGCGGGAAGAAGGCCUUCGGGUUGUAAACCGCUUUUGUCAGGGAAGAAACGCUCUGGGCUAACACCCCGGGGUAAUGACGGUACCUGAAGAAUAAGCACCGGCUAACUACGUGCCAGCAGCCGCGGUAAUACGUAGGGUGCAAGCGUUAAUCGGAAUUACUGGGCGUAAAGCGUGCGCAGGCGGUCGUGCAAGACAGAUGUGAAAUCCCCGGGCUUAACCUGGGAACUGCAUUUGUGACUGCACGGCUGGAGUGCGGCAGAGGGGGAUGGAAUUCCGCGUGUAGUAGUGAAAUGCGUAGAUAUGCGGAGGAACACCGAUGGCGAAGGCAAUCCCCUGGGCCUGCACUGACGCUCAUGCACGAAAGCGUGGGGAGCAAACAGGAUUAGAUACCCUGGUAGUCCACGCCCUAAACUAUGGAUACUCGACAUACGCGAUACACUGUGUGUGUCUGAGCGAAAGCAUUAAGUAUCCCACCUGGGAAGUACGACCGCAAGGUUGAAACUCAAAGGAAUUGGCGGGGGUCCUCACAAGCGGUGGAGCAUGUGGUUUAAUUCGAUGAACGC